This 584-nucleotide long non-coding RNA is filed under the name Fukomys damarensis (Damara mole-rat). RNAcentral's name for it is "lncRNA (ENSFDAG00000021832.1)". The record is from RNAcentral. Lineage: Eukaryota; Metazoa; Chordata; Mammalia; Rodentia; Bathyergidae.
AAAGAAAUUGAAGUUGAAAGAAAAGUCAGGUAUGACAAUAUGACAACUGGGAAUUAAAGAUGUCUUGGAGGCUGACCACUGGUUACCUAAUUUACGAGAGAUGUGUAAAACACAGACUGACCUACCACAGAAAAGGCCAGAAGCACAGCUGAGAAGAUCUGGGCACAAGUCUACAGAUAGAAAUUUCUCUGCUAUGGAUCUCAGUGAAACAACAAAAUGCCCCUACCAAAAGUUGCUCCCUGUGGGGAAUGAAAUUAGAUGAGACCUGGAGAGUGGAAAACAAAUUGAAUUCAUUUAACCAAACUGCUAUCUGACCAUUAAGGUUCAUCUCAAAACACAAGCACAAGAUCCCAGGCAAGGCAGUGUCAACAAGAUGAAUUAUGCUCUCAGUGUGCACGGCAGAGCAUGGCAUUGACUGUGCGAUCCCGGGGAGGUGGCCAGUGAGUCAACUUCUUUUUUGAGCUAUCUUGGUCUCUAUGUUGCAUUUAAAAAAAAAAUGGUUGUCUGUGUCUAAACAGUUCUAUUCAUCUCUGUAUUUUUUAUUGUGCAAUUGCAUGAUUAGAAUAAUAAAUCUUUUGGUGGAG